UACGUAGGGUGCAAGCGUUGUCCGGAAUUAUUGGGCGUAAAGAGCUCGUAGGCGGUCUGUCGCGUCGGCUGUGAAAUCCCGAGGCUCAACCUCGGGUCUGCAGUCGAUACGGGCAAACUAGAGUAUUGCAGGGGAGACUGGAAUUCCUGGUGUAGCGGUGAAAUGCGCAGAUAUCAGGAGGAACACCGGUGGCGAAGGCGGCCUGCUGGGCAGUGGGGGAGACCCCUUCAAGCUGACACUGAGGCGCGACAGCGUGGGGAGCAAACAGG
This 269-nucleotide ribosomal RNA is filed under the name uncultured bacterium. RNAcentral describes it as "partial 16S ribosomal RNA". It matches the Rfam family "Bacterial small subunit ribosomal RNA", at positions 524 to 776 of the family's 1533-position model. The record is from RNAcentral.